Long non-coding RNA from Antechinus flavipes (yellow-footed antechinus), 290 nucleotides. RefSeq lists it as uncharacterized. Lineage: Eukaryota; Metazoa; Chordata; Mammalia; Dasyuromorphia; Dasyuridae. The transcript is spliced from 2 exons. The record is from RefSeq and is a predicted model, not a curated record.
GCACUGCUCCCCCGCGUCCCCGCGGCCCGAAGAGCCGGAGCCCGGCCAAGCCCAACGACGCCACCCCCCCUGCCCCCGCCUCACAAAGGCCCCGUGAGGUGGGAACGACAUCGCCAGCCCCGCCUCCCUCGGUGAAAGUGACUUGAAGAGAAAGUGUCAAAAUGCCAGCUGCGUCACUGUUUCCUCCCUUUUCCGCGGGCCUCAGUUUCCCCAUCAGCGAAUUUGGGCCCGUAACACUGCGCGGCCUGCUUGAUUACAAUGUGGGAAAUAAAUAGUGUGGUUCACCGCAA